RNAcentral lists this ribosomal RNA (253 nucleotides) under uncultured bacterium. RNAcentral's name for it is "partial 16S ribosomal RNA". It matches the Rfam family "Bacterial small subunit ribosomal RNA", at positions 524 to 776 of the family's 1533-position model. The record is from RNAcentral.
GACGAGGGACCCUAGCGUUGUUCGGAAUCAUUGGGCGUAAAGCGGGUGUAGGUGGCUUUGUAAGUCAGGUGUGAAAGCCCUGGGCUCAACCCAGGAAGUGCAUUUGAUACUGCGAAGCUUGAGUGCCGGAGAGGUUACUGGAAUACCUGGUGUAGUGGUGAAAUACGUAGAUAUCAGGUGGAACACCGGAGGCGAAGGCGGGUAACUGGCCGGACACUGACACUCAGACCCGAAAGUGCGGGGAUCAAACAGG